Molecule: ribosomal RNA, 456 nt
Filed under: uncultured bacterium
Lineage: Bacteria
Description: bacterial SSU rRNA
Rfam family: Bacterial small subunit ribosomal RNA
Source: RNAcentral
GCACAAGCGGUGGAGCAUGUGGUUUAAUUCGACGCAACGCGCAGAACCUUACCAGCCCUUGACAUGUCCAGGACCGGUCGCAGAGAUGUGACCUUCUCUUCGGAGCCUGGAACACAGGUGCUGCAUGGCUGUCGUCAGCUCGUGUCGUGAGAUGUUGGGUUAAGUCCCGCAACGAGCGCAACCCUCGCCCUUAGUUGCCAUCAUUCAGUUGGGCACUCCAGGGGGACUGCCGGUGAUAAGCCGGAGGAAGGUGGGGAUGACGUCAAGUCCUCAUGGCCCUUACAGGCUGGGCUACACACGUGCUACAAUGGCGGUGACAACGGGAGGCGAAGGGGCGACCCUUAGCAAAUCUCGAAAAGCCGUCUCAGUUCGGAUUGCACUCUGCAACUCGAGUGCAUGAAGUUGGAAUCGCUAGUAAUCGCGGAUCAGCACGCCGCGGUGAAUACGUUCCCGGGC